Molecule: ribosomal RNA, 404 nt
Filed under: uncultured prokaryote
Description: bacterial SSU rRNA
Rfam family: Bacterial small subunit ribosomal RNA
Source: RNAcentral
UGGGGAAUAUUGCACAAUGGGCGAAAGCCUGAUGCAGCAACGCCGCGUGAGCGAUGAAGGCCUUCGGGUCGUAAAGCUCUGUCCUCAAGGAAGAUAAUGACGGUACCUGAGGAGGAAGCCCCGGCUAACUACGUGCCAGCAGCCGCGGUAAUACGUAGGGGGCAAGCGUUGUCCGGAAUGAUUGGGCGUAAAGGGCGCGUAGGCGGCCUAAUAAGUCUGGAGUGAAAGUCCUGCUUUCAAGGUGGGAAUUGCUUUGGAUACUGUUGGGCUUGAGUGCAGGAGAGGUAAGUGGAAUUCCCAGUGUAGCGGUGAAAUGCGUAGAGAUUGGGAGGAACACCAGUGGCGAAGGCGACUUACUGGACUGUAACUGACGCUGAGGCGCGAAAGUGUGGGGAGCAAACAGG